Non-coding RNA from Amblyraja radiata (thorny skate), 73 nucleotides. NCBI's taxonomy places the organism in Eukaryota, Metazoa, Chordata, Chondrichthyes, Rajiformes, Rajidae. The record is from the annotation of a RefSeq genome assembly.
UCCUCGUUAGUAUAGUGGUUUAAUAUCCCCGCUUGUCACGCGGGAGACCGGGGUUCAAUUUCCCGACGAGGAG